RNAcentral lists this ribosomal RNA (476 nucleotides) under uncultured organism. Its description in RNAcentral is "partial 16S ribosomal RNA". It matches the Rfam family "Bacterial small subunit ribosomal RNA", at positions 332 to 800 of the family's 1533-position model. The record is from RNAcentral.
UACACUCCUACGGGAGGCAGCAGUGGGGAAUUUUGGACAAUGGGCGAAAGCCUGAUCCAGCAAUGCCGCGUGAGUGAAGAAGGCCUUCGGGUUGUAAAGCUCUUUUGUCAGGGAAGAAACGGUGAAAGCUAAUAUCUUUUGCUAAUGACGGUACCUGAAGAAUAAGCACCGGCUAACUACGUGCCAGCAGCCGCGGUAAUACGUAGGGUGCAAGCGUUAAUCGGAAUUACUGGGCGUAAAGCGUGCGCAGGCGGUUUUGUAAGUCUGAUGUGAAAUCCCCGGGCUCAACCUGGGAAUUGCAUUGGAGACUGCAAGGCUAGAAUCUGGCAGAGGGGGGUAGAAUUCCACGUGUAGCAGUGAAAUGCGUAGAUAUGUGGAGGAACACCGAUGGCGAAGGCAGCCCCCUGGGUCAAGAUUGACGCUCAUGCACGAAAGCGUGGGGAGCAAACAGGAUUAGAAACCCUUGAGUCCCAUGA